Molecule: transfer RNA, 76 nt
Filed under: Candidatus Woesebacteria bacterium RIFCSPHIGHO2_01_FULL_38_9
Lineage: Bacteria; Candidatus Woeseibacteriota
Also listed under: 1 other name
Description: tRNA-Lys
Rfam family: tRNA
About the family: Transfer RNA (tRNA) molecules are approximately 80 nucleotides in length. Their secondary structure includes four short double-helical elements and three loops (D, anti-codon, and T loops). Further hydrogen bonds mediate the characteristic L-shaped molecular structure. tRNAs have two regions of fundamental functional importance: the anti-codon, which is responsible for specific mRNA codon recognition, and the 3' end, to which the tRNAs corresponding amino acid is attached (by aminoacyl-tRNA synthetases). tRNAs cope with the degeneracy of the genetic code in two manners: having more than one tRNA (with a specific anti-codon) for a particular amino acid; and 'wobble' base-pairing, i.e. permitting non-standard base-pairing at the 3rd anti-codon position.
Source: RNAcentral
GGGCCGCUAGCUCAACUGGCAGAGCAUCUCCCUCUUAAGGAGGUGGUUGGAGGUUCGAGUCCUCCGCGGCUCACAA